GCCGCCAUGGUGGAACUGGCAGACACAUGGGACUUAAAAUCCCCCGGAGUAACAUCCGUACCGGUUCAAGUCCGGUUGGCGGCA
RNAcentral lists this transfer RNA (84 nucleotides) under Ruminococcaceae bacterium OttesenSCG-928-L11. RNAcentral's name for it is "tRNA-Leu". It matches the Rfam family "tRNA". Rfam says of the family: Transfer RNA (tRNA) molecules are approximately 80 nucleotides in length. Their secondary structure includes four short double-helical elements and three loops (D, anti-codon, and T loops). Lineage: Bacteria; Bacillati; Bacillota; Clostridia; Eubacteriales; Oscillospiraceae. The record is from RNAcentral.